AGCGAACGCUGGCGGCAGGCUUAACACAUGCAAGUCGAGCGGGCACUUCGGUGUCAGCGGCAGACGGGUGAGUAACACGUGGGAACGUACCCUUUGGUUCGGAAUAACGCUGGGAAACUAGCGCUAAUACCGGAUACGCCCUUUUGGGGAAAGGCUUGCUGCCGAAGGAUCGGCCCGCGUCUGAUUAGCUAGUUGGUGGGGUAAUGGCCUACCAAGGCGACGAUCAGUAGCUGGUCUGAGAGGAUGAUCAGCCACACUGGGACUGAGACACGGCCCAGACUCCUACGGGAGGCAGCAGUGGGGAAUAUUGGACAAUGGGCGCAAGCCUGAUCCAGCCAUGCCGCGUGAGUGAUGAAGGCCUUAGGGUUGUAAAGCUCUUUUGUCCGGGACGAUAAUGACGGUACCGGGAGAAUAAGCCCCGGCUAACUUCGUG
Molecule: ribosomal RNA, 433 nt
Filed under: uncultured bacterium
Lineage: Bacteria
Description: partial 16S ribosomal RNA
Rfam family: Bacterial small subunit ribosomal RNA
Source: RNAcentral